This is a long non-coding RNA of Hemiscyllium ocellatum (epaulette shark), 376 nucleotides long. RefSeq lists it as uncharacterized. NCBI's taxonomy places the organism in Eukaryota, Metazoa, Chordata, Chondrichthyes, Orectolobiformes, Hemiscylliidae. The record is from RefSeq and is a predicted model, not a curated record. The transcript has 3 exons.
CCUGCAUGUAGCUCCUCCAUUAUCAGGGCUCACAAGCUGCUUCACCGCACUUCCCAAUCAAUGUCUGGAUCACGAACUAUUCAUGGCUGGGAGCGAUUGACCUGAUGCAUAGCUGGAUUUUAAAUAUGGUACUGGCAAUGGAAAUCCCGGAAUUGGCUGGUACUUCCACUUCUGGUUAAAUGAUGGAUGGGUGCACCCUGAUUGACUGCAGUCAAGCAUUCAACUUAAAAAGAACCAGAACAGAGGCACAGAAGAGGAUCUUUAGAUGUCAUAAGUUGAACUUUGCAUACCACAAAAAAUCCAUUGAAUGCACUGGCCAUAUCUCAAAAAAAGGAUAUUUCAAGAUCACAGAGGACCAUUCAAAAAACAAGCACUG